Molecule: ribosomal RNA, 462 nt
Filed under: uncultured bacterium
Lineage: Bacteria
Description: partial 16S ribosomal RNA
Rfam family: Bacterial small subunit ribosomal RNA
Source: RNAcentral
GACGAACGCUGGCGGCGUGCUUAACACAUGCAAGUCGAGCGGAAAGGCCCUUCGGGGUACUCGAGCGGCGAACGGGUGAGUAACACGUGAGUAACCUGCCCCAGACUUUGGGAUAACCCUCGGAAACGGGGACUAAUACCGGAUACGACACAGCUUCGCAUGGGGUCUGUGUGGAAAGUUUUUCGGUUUGGGAUGGGCUCGCGGCCUAUCAGCUUGUUGGUGGGGUGAUGGCCUACCAAGGCGACGACGGGUAGCCGGCCUGAGAGGGCGACCGGCCACACUGGGACUGAGACACGGCCCAGACUCCUACGGGAGGCAGCAGUGGGGAAUAUUGCACAAUGGGCGGAAGCCUGAUGCAGCGACGCCGCGUGAGGGAUGACGGCCUUCGGGUUGUAAACCUCUUUCAGCAGGGACGAAGCGUAAGUGACGGUACCUGCAGAAGAAGCGCCGGCCAACUACGUG